GAAAAUUAUUCAGUAUUCUGUUAUUUGCGUUGCAUGUAUUAUGUAGUUUAGGAACAAUUAUUACUAGUGAAAGCCCAUUUGAUCUUAUUGUUUUUUACAAUUAUACAUUUUAAUGAUUUGUAUGUAUAGAAAAUGUUCCAAUGCAUUUUGUGGUGACAUUUAAUAACAUUUAUCCUGAUAUUGUAUAAAAGUGAAAGAUUUGAGUAUAUGACCGAAAUUGUUCACCUUGAUUGGGAUAACUCCUCUUUCUUCACAACAAUAUCCUCCUAAGCGUUGUAGUAACAUAAAAGUAGCAUCUGAUAUGUGUAUUUUGAAAGCUUCACCAGAACUUUCCAUUCUUGAAGCAGUAUUGACCGUGUCACCAAAAAGACAAUAUCUAGGCAUUUUUAGACCCACGACACCGGCUACAACGUGACCUGUAGGAUUUAAAAAUGAAAUGUGGAUUAUACAGGACAAAUAUCGUGAUGAGAAUUGUCAUCAAAUGCAAGAUUUCUAAUAAAAUCAUCAGGGAAUUAAUGAGGGGAAGUACUUUGUGAACGCGCCUUAAAUGUCUACAAGCUGGAGUCUCUUGGAUGGCGCCAAAAGUAACUUUGACGUUUAAAGUCUAUAUACGAGGACAA
Long non-coding RNA from Diorhabda sublineata, 620 nucleotides. RefSeq lists it as uncharacterized. The transcript has 3 exons. The record is from RefSeq and is a predicted model, not a curated record. Lineage: Eukaryota; Metazoa; Arthropoda; Insecta; Coleoptera; Chrysomelidae.